AUUGAACGCUGGCGGCAGGCUUAACACAUGCAAGUCGAGCGGGGUGAUGGUGCUUGCACUAUCACUUAGCGGCGGACGGGUGAGUAAUGCUUAGGAAUCUGCCUAUUAGUGGGGGACAACAUCUCGAAAGGGAUGCUAAUACCGCAUACGUCCUACGGGAGAAAGCAGGGGAUCACUUGUGACCUUGCGCUAAUAGAUGAGCCUAAGUAGGAGUAGCUAGUUGGUGGGGCAAAGGCCUACCAAGGAGACGAUCUGUAGCGGGUCUGAGAGGAUGAUCCGCCACACUGGGACUGAGACACGGCCCAGACUCCUACGGGAGGCAGCAGUGGGGAAUAUUGGACAAUGGGGGGAACCCUGAUCCAGCCAUGCCGCGUGUGUGAAGAAGGCCUUAUGGUUGUAAAGCACUUUACGCGAGGAGGAGGCUCUUUUGGUUAAUACCCAAGAUGAGUGGACGUUACUCGCAGAAUAAGCACCGGCUAACUCUGUGCCAGCCGCCGCCGUAA
Molecule: ribosomal RNA, 503 nt
Filed under: uncultured bacterium
Lineage: Bacteria
Description: partial 16S ribosomal RNA
Rfam family: Bacterial small subunit ribosomal RNA
Source: RNAcentral